UACAGAGGGUGCAAGCGUUAAUCGGAAUUACUGGGCGUAAAGCGUGCGUAGUCGGUUAUUUAAGUCGGGUGUGAAAUCCCCGGGCUCAACCUGGGAAUUGCAUUCGAUACUGGAUAGCUAGAGUUCGGCAGAGGGAAGCGGAAUUUCUGGUGUAGCGGUGAAAUGCGUAGAUAUCAGAAGGAACAUCAGUGGCGAAAGCGGCUUCCUGGACCAGAACUGACGAUCAGGCACGAAAGCGUGGGGAGCAAACAGG
This 253-nucleotide ribosomal RNA is filed under the name uncultured bacterium. Its description in RNAcentral is "partial 16S ribosomal RNA". It matches the Rfam family "Bacterial small subunit ribosomal RNA", at positions 524 to 776 of the family's 1533-position model. The record is from RNAcentral.